AUGUUUGAUAUUCAAUUUGAUAACAAAGUAACCUCGACCAAUAGUUUUUGGCCAUUUGCAUAUAGGUUGAGGGAGUGCUCCUUGCUUCGAGAAGUACUUUUGAUUAAAGCUUCUUCGAUGCCCCAUGAACACUCAGGGCUCGAGUCCUAUAUAUAUUCUAAAUGUAUUUAUGCAAUUUUACUCUGGUGCUUGCACAUCCAUGGAUCUGAAAGUAUUGCGGGAGCUCCCAUGAUGGACUAUGAUGAAAAAGUAUUUCUUGUUGCCUGUUCUGUUGUGGUGCAAGUGUCCCAUGAUGGACUAUGA
RNAcentral lists this ribosomal RNA (303 nucleotides) under Triticum aestivum (bread wheat). RNAcentral describes it as "partial small subunit ribosomal RNA". Lineage: Eukaryota; Viridiplantae; Streptophyta; Magnoliopsida; Poales; Poaceae. The record is from RNAcentral.